Ruditapes philippinarum (Manila clam) is the source of this 491-nucleotide long non-coding RNA. RefSeq lists it as uncharacterized. The transcript is spliced from 2 exons. Lineage: Eukaryota; Metazoa; Mollusca; Bivalvia; Venerida; Veneridae. The record is from RefSeq and is a predicted model, not a curated record.
UUAAAGCCCAACAGUGACAGAGUAUUGGAGUACUUGACGUGCAUUGUGAAAGUUGAUCGAGACUAUCAAUUCUUCGAGAGUCCCAGUGCCUAUAUACUCGCAAGAAGGAUAUGGUAUGAAAUACAGCUUGGUACACAUCUGUGCUGGUAGAUUUGUACAUUUGGAAGUUGUUUCAGUGUGGAGAGAGAUGGACACGGUGUAUUGUACGUUAAUCUUAAGACCAAGGAGGCAGAUUUGCAAGAAUGGCAUGAAACAUGGUGAUGAUGGAUGGACGUGUGGAUCGUUAAAGCCCAACAGUGACAGAGUAUUGGAGUACUUGACGUGCAUUGUGAAAGUUGAUCGAGACUAUCAAUUCUUCGAGAGUCCCAGUGCCUAUAUACUCGCAAGAAGGAUAUGGUAUGAAAUACAGCUUGGUACACAUCUGUGCUGGUAGAUUUGUACAUUUGGAAGUUGUUUCAGUGUGGAGAGAGAUGGACACGGUGUAUUGUACG